RNAcentral lists this transfer RNA (71 nucleotides) under Larsonella pumila. Its description in RNAcentral is "tRNA-Ser". It matches the Rfam family "tRNA". Rfam says of the family: Transfer RNA (tRNA) molecules are approximately 80 nucleotides in length. The record is from RNAcentral. Lineage: Eukaryota; Metazoa; Chordata; Actinopteri; Gobiiformes; Gobiidae.
AAGAAAGUGACAGAAUGGUCAUGUGUCCGGCUUGAAACCGGGUUAAGGGGGUUCAAUUCCUUCCUUUCUCG